This 253-nucleotide ribosomal RNA is filed under the name uncultured Actinomycetales bacterium. RNAcentral's name for it is "partial 16S ribosomal RNA". It matches the Rfam family "Bacterial small subunit ribosomal RNA", at positions 524 to 776 of the family's 1533-position model. Lineage: Bacteria; Bacillati; Actinomycetota; Actinomycetes; Actinomycetales. The record is from RNAcentral.
UACGUAGGGUGCGAGCGUUGUCCGGAUUUAUUGGGCGUAAAGAGCUCGUAGGUGGUUUGUUGCGUCGGAAGUGAAAACCUGCAGCUUAACUGUGGGCUUGCUUUCGAUACGGGCAGACUUGAGGAAGGUAGGGGAGAACGGAAUUCCUGGUGGAGCGGUGGAAUGCGCAGAUAUCAGGAGGAACACCGGUGGCGAAGGCGGUUCUCUGGACCUUUCCUGACGCUGAGGAGCGAAAGCGUGGGGAGCGAACAGG